RNAcentral lists this long non-coding RNA (230 nucleotides) under Homo sapiens (human). RNAcentral describes it as "HSALNT0002370". The record is from RNAcentral. Lineage: Eukaryota; Metazoa; Chordata; Mammalia; Primates; Hominidae.
CAUCUUCCUCCAUCAUCCAAAUAGUUCCUGGCAGAAGCAAUCCAUCCUCUUUCAGGGAUUCGUCCUGGAUGGGCACCUCCCUGCCAGGAGCUGAGACUGAGGCUCUAAGACUUGAAGGGAUUUGCAGACAUGAGGUGAUUUGUAGGCAUGAGGAUAAAGGAGGGCUGUGACAGCCACUCAGGAACACAGGAGCACAUCCCUGUGCAGGUGAUGUUUGGGGAGACCCUUGA